RNAcentral lists this small RNA (22 nucleotides) under Arabidopsis thaliana (thale cress). RNAcentral's name for it is "ATSL178040". The record is from RNAcentral. Lineage: Eukaryota; Viridiplantae; Streptophyta; Magnoliopsida; Brassicales; Brassicaceae.
UCAAGCUCUCUAGCUUCCUCAG